CCCCUGAUUAGUGGCGAACGGGUGAGUAACACGUGAGUAACCUGCCCUCCACUUCGGGAUAACCUCGGGAAAUCGUGGCUAAUACCGGAUAUGAGCACUCAUCGCAUGGUGGGUGUUGGAAAGAUUUAUCGGUGGGGGAUGGACUCGCGGCCUAUCAGUUUGUUGGUGAGGUGAUGGCUCACCAAGACGAUGACGGGUAGCCGGCCUGAGAGGGCGACCGGCCACACUGGGACUGAGACACGGCCCAGACUCCUACGGGAGGCAGCAGUGGGGAAUAUUGCACAAUGGGCGAAAGCCUGAUGCAGCGACGCCGCGUGGGGGAUGACGGCCUUCGGGUUGUAAACCCCUUUCAGUAGGGAAGAAGCGAGAGUGACGGUACCUGCAGAAGAAGCGCCGGCUAACUACGUGCCAGCAGCCGCGGUAAUACGUAGGGCGCAAGCGUUGUCCGGAAUUAUUGGGCGUAAAGAGCUUGUAGGUGGCUUGUCGCGUCUGCCGUGAAAACCCGAGGCUCAACCUCGGGCGUGCGGUGGGUACGGGCAGGCUAGAGUGUGGUAGGGGAGACUGGAACUCCUGGUGUAGCGGUGAAAUGCGCAGAUAUCAGGAAGAACACCGAUGGCGAA
Molecule: ribosomal RNA, 620 nt
Filed under: Brachybacterium paraconglomeratum
Lineage: Bacteria; Bacillati; Actinomycetota; Actinomycetes; Micrococcales; Dermabacteraceae
Also listed under: 1 other name
Description: bacterial SSU rRNA
Rfam family: Bacterial small subunit ribosomal RNA
Source: RNAcentral